This 309-nucleotide ribosomal RNA is filed under the name uncultured bacterium. RNAcentral's name for it is "bacterial SSU rRNA". It matches the Rfam family "Bacterial small subunit ribosomal RNA", at positions 28 to 334 of the family's 1533-position model. The record is from RNAcentral.
GACGAACGCUGGCGGCGCGCCUAACACAUGCAAGUCGAACGAGAGAGAGGAAGCUUGCUUCCUUAAUCGAGUGGCGAACGGGUGAGUAACGCGUGAGGAACCUGCCUCAAAGAGGGGACAACAGUUGGAACGACUGCUAAUACCGCAUAAGCCCACAGCUCGGCAUCGAGCAGAGGGAAAAGGAGCAAUUCGCUCUGGGAUGGACUCGCGUCCGAUUAGCUAGAUGGCGGGGUAACGGCCCACCAUGGCGACGAUCGGUAGCCGGACUGAGAGGUUGAACGGCCACAUUGGGACUGAGAUACGGCCCAG